CAGCGGUCUUUCUAAAAAUGGGAAAGGUAUUAGCUGUGUUAGUGUUCAUUUGCUUUCUGCUAAGCAUUAUUCACGAAACACAUAGUGAUUGCUCUGGAUUGUGUAAUUGGACCAUCUUGCGCUGUGGCAGUGACGAAUACUGCGACUUCAGAUAUCUAUUUAUGGGGCUUUGCUGUUCAUAGAAUUAGCACAAUUGGGAAGAUAUGAUGCAAAUGAAUGAGAUGAGAAGACACAAAAAGAGCUUUUUUUUCAUUGAUUUUGCAUUAAUAAAUCUCUUUAAUUGUGCUAAUGGGAAAAAAAAUCUUGAGCAGACAAAAUAAA
Long non-coding RNA from Saccostrea cuccullata (small rock oyster), 321 nucleotides. RefSeq lists it as uncharacterized. The transcript has 3 exons. The record is from RefSeq and is a predicted model, not a curated record. Lineage: Eukaryota; Metazoa; Mollusca; Bivalvia; Ostreida; Ostreidae.